Pyrus x bretschneideri (Chinese white pear) is the source of this 891-nucleotide long non-coding RNA. RefSeq lists it as uncharacterized. The transcript has 6 exons. Lineage: Eukaryota; Viridiplantae; Streptophyta; Magnoliopsida; Rosales; Rosaceae. The record is from RefSeq and is a predicted model, not a curated record.
AUCCCUCAAAUCUCAGACCCUCCUCGAAAUCUCUAAUUGGGGUAAAGAAUUCCUGCUGUUUCCCCCUUUUUCCGUUUGGGAUUUCUGGGUUGUGGCUGGGUUUUUGGUCGAUUUCCAUCCCUUUGGGCGCGGCCUAUCUUCAGAUCUCUGCAGAAUCAAUCUUAUAUAGCUAAGAAACUCCAGACUUAGAGAGAGCAGUUGCAGUAGCUGUGACUACUAUUUGUUUCUCUCUUGAAAAAGAUCAUUAUCAAAGCAAUUUAUAUAAGCUACAAAGUGCUUUUGCUGAAAUUGAAAAAAAAAAGAUUAUUGGCACAACAAUUUAUAUAAGCUACAGUGCUUUUGCUCAAAUUGGAAAGAAAAAAAAAAGUGUUUGGGUGCCCCUCUCAAUGUAGCAACACGAAAAAUUAUCUUCAGUAGCUGUUUAUUGAUCCCAAAUUCUUUAGUCUAAUAAAUUGCAAUUAUCUUCUUUUAUGUAUUUAUAAACAUGCAUGAUCAAGGCUACUAAAGUUGCAAGAAUUUCUGGGGCACCACUUAGUAUGGGGGUGGAGUCAAUCGACUUGAAUUGACUAGAGGUUUGACAAAGAUAUAAGCAAAGUGAAAAGUUUCGACUGUGGAUUCCAUGAGCAUUUUGAAAGUAGUAUGCUUUUCCAUAUGUGCUUUUUCUCUGAUUGUGUUCUAACUGAUCAUUGCAGUUGAAAGAUUUGACGGUUAAGUUACUAACAAAGCAAAGACUGAGCCAUGGUGAGACACAAGCUUUCGGCCACCUCGCCCUGCUGAUACCUAGUAGCUUGAUGUAUUAAACCUAGUUCACUUUUAGUUUUUUUCUUUUUUGUUUGGAUCUUGUAUGUACAUUUUCAUAUAUUUUAUAAUUAAAUACUUUUGCUUGGUUAA